GCGUGAGUGAAGAAGGCCUUAGGGUUGUAAAGCUCUUUCAGCGGGGAAGAUAAUGACGGUACCCGCAGAAGAAGUCCCGGCUAACUUCGUGCCAGCAGCCGCGGUAAUACGAAGGGGACUAGCGUUGUUCGGAUUUACUGGGCGUAAAGCGCGCGUAGGCGGAUAUCUAAGUCAGGGGUGAAAUCCCAGGGCUCAACCCUGGAACUGCCUUUGAUACUGGAUGUCUGGAGAUCGGGAGAGGUGAGUGGAAUUCCGAGUGUAGAGGUGAAAUUCGU
RNAcentral lists this ribosomal RNA (275 nucleotides) under uncultured bacterium. Its description in RNAcentral is "partial 16S ribosomal RNA". It matches the Rfam family "Bacterial small subunit ribosomal RNA", at positions 399 to 691 of the family's 1533-position model. The record is from RNAcentral.